UUUCAUGGCGGCUGUGCGUCGGAGACCUUAGGGUCUGCCGGUGUGCGCGAGUGAAGGCCGGUUCGUCAACCUUCGCACAGCUGCCACCCAA
This 91-nucleotide non-coding RNA is filed under the name Pseudomonas cichorii. Lineage: Bacteria; Pseudomonadati; Pseudomonadota; Gammaproteobacteria; Pseudomonadales; Pseudomonadaceae. The record is from RNAcentral.